This 415-nucleotide ribosomal RNA is filed under the name uncultured Funneliformis. RNAcentral's name for it is "partial 28S ribosomal RNA". Lineage: Eukaryota; Fungi; Glomeromycota; Glomeromycetes; Glomerales; Glomeraceae. The record is from RNAcentral.
GAGAGUUAAACAGUACGUGAAAUUGUUGAAAGGGAAACGAUUGAAGUCAGUCAUACUAACGGGAAAUCAACCUCUUGAGUUUGGUCUCGUGGGUUUUGAAGAGUUUAAAAGCCUUCGGAUUUUCGAGAUUGGAUUCUUCUGGUGUACUUUCUCGUACGGUUAGUCAACAUCGGUUUUGAAUGUCAUAAAAUGACUGGAGGAAUGUGGCUUCGAUCUCGUAUUGAAGUGUUAUAGCCUUUGGUAGAUGUGAUGUUCGAGACCGAGGAUUGCAACGGAUACCCUUCUGGGCUAUUCGUCUGAUCUCUGAAACGUUGCCUUGAUGUCGAAAGCUUGCUUAUGAUGUUAAGGGUAUUACGGUCAAAAGGUUAGAACGGAUUAAAUUCGUUAAGGAUGUUGACGUAAUGACUUUAAACGA